GAAUGGCUCGUUGGGACACCGACGCGAGGAGGGGGUGGUUUCGGCCGGGGUCGAUGGGAGCUCCACCCCUGUUUGAGGCCGUGGGGGAAGGGGAUGGGGUUGGGGCGGCGGUGGGUGUAACGGUGGUGGGAGAGGGUUUUGGGUGAGGCCGGAUGGAGAAGCGGUGCAUGAGGAGGACGACGUCGGUCGCGGCGGCGUCGUUCGCGGGGGCAGGAGCGAAGGCGGCGGCGGUGCGGCGACGAUGCGUCGUCGGGGGCGGCACGGUGGAGGGGGGAAUGCAAUCUGAGUGCGGUGGAGGGGCGAGGGUGAUGUGGCGUCUGCGGGCGAAGGGCGAGGCGCCGUCUGCGCGUGUGGAGGUGAGGGCGGCUCAAGCUGAUCUCAGUCGUUCUAUGAAUGCAGAUGAUUCUGUUUUUGUACGAUUUAUCCAACGAGUAAACGCGUAAAUUGAGUUAAUACAAGACCUGAUCUAAUGAAGAGUAAAACCACACGAGUGAGGCACCACAUUAGGCAUGACCUUAAAA
Molecule: long non-coding RNA, 521 nt
Filed under: Oryza brachyantha (malo sina)
Lineage: Eukaryota; Viridiplantae; Streptophyta; Magnoliopsida; Poales; Poaceae
Description: long non-coding RNA (OBRA_LNC001418)
Source: RNAcentral